AUUGAACGCUGGCGGCAGGCCUAACACAUGCAAGUCGAGCGGAUGAAGGGAGCUUGCUCCUGGAUUCAGCGGCGGACGGGUGAGUAAUGCCUAGGAAUCUGCCUGGUAGUGGGGGAUAACGUCCGGAAACGGGCGCUAAUACCGCAUACGUCCUGAGGGGGAAAGUGGGGGAUCUUCGGACCUCACGCUAUCAGAUGAGCCUAGGUCGGAUUAGCUAGUUGGUGGGGUAAAGGCCUACCAAGGCGACGAUCCGUAACUGGUCUGAGAGGAUGAUCAGUCACACUGGAACUGAGACACGGUCCAGACUCCUACGGGAGGCAGCAGUGGGGAAUAUUGGACAAAGGGCGAAAGCCUGAUCCAGCCAUGCCGCGUGUGUGAAGAAGGUCUUCGGAUUGUAAAGCACUUUAAGUUGGGAGGAAGGGCAGUAAGUUAAUACCUUGCUGUUUUGACGUUACCAACAGAAUAAGCACCGGCUAACUUCGUG
RNAcentral lists this ribosomal RNA (484 nucleotides) under uncultured bacterium. Its description in RNAcentral is "partial 16S ribosomal RNA". It matches the Rfam family "Bacterial small subunit ribosomal RNA", at positions 30 to 507 of the family's 1533-position model. The record is from RNAcentral.